Mus musculus (house mouse) is the source of this 4335-nucleotide RNA transcript. It is a transcript of the gene named receptor accessory protein 5, with no coding region annotated. The transcript has 4 exons. Lineage: Eukaryota; Metazoa; Chordata; Mammalia; Rodentia; Muridae. The record is from RefSeq and is marked validated.
AUUUUUGUUUGUUUGUUUUGUUUUUUCGAGACAGGGUUUCUCUGUGUAGCCCUGGCUGUCCUGGAACUCACUUUGUAGACCAGGCUGGCCUCGAACUCAGAAAUCCGCCUGCCUCUGCCUCCUGAGUGCUGGGAUUGAAGGCGUGUGCCACCACGCCCGACAUAUUUUUAAUUUUUAAUGGUGCGUGUAUGUGUGUGUGGACACACACACACAUACACACAAUCGAGCAAGUGCAUAUGAGUACAGGUGUCCAGAGAGUCCAGAAGAAGGCCUGGCUUCGCUGGAACAGGAGUUAAAAGCUGGGUACUGGGAACUGGACCUCACUCUCAGCAAGAGCAGUAUGUGCUUCUGACCAUUGAGACAUGUCUUUAGCUCUACCUGCUUGCUUUUCAAAAGGGUCUCAGGCUGGCCUCACACUCUCUAUGUAACUGAGGCUGCCUUGGAACUCCUGAUCCUUCCUGCCUUCCAAGAGCUGGGAUUACAAGGUAUGCGGAAACCAUGCCAGGCUUUGACCCACAUUUGGUUCCUGUGACUGCAACAUUAAAAAGUAAUUGUAGGCUAAUGGGCAUUUGGGUGUGGAUGCUUUCAUAACAACACUAUUAACUUUAUGGUUCAAUUUCUUCAGUGAUUAGCUGGAUACUGGGGUGGGGGUGGGGGGCAGCUGAAAGAGUUCAUUUAAGACCCUCGGGGGGAAAAGGAGAGGAAACUUGCAGAUAAGAAAUAUGGAUCGAGCACGGUAUCUACUCAUUCCCAUGGAAGACAAUAGCUCAGUCUACAAGUGGACAAGGGUUUAGGACCGAGAAAGAAUGUUGUGCAGGAGACCUCACAUUCUCUGCUGAGAAACGGAACUACACUGCCAAGGCCUUUGAGUCUUAUGUAAUGAGGAAAACUUGGCAGAGUAGGAGAAAGGGCGACUUCAGAAGGAGUGUUCUGAAGAAAUUCGGGUAAAAGACCAUUAGAGCCUAGGUUUAUGUGGAAGAACCUGGACACCAUCGUUCACACUCAUCUUCCCGGUAACUGUGCAUUUAGGGAAGUGAAGAUUGCCACUUCGCUGGUAGCUGCUAGGAAACACUUCCCUUCUCUUAGAUCUCAAGGUAACAAUAGCCCACCAGGAGGCUAGACUACCUUGCUUGAAAAAUAGUGUGCCCUAGAGGAGGGCAUGUGAGCUUUCUCCAGGGGAAUUUUCAAAACUACCCUGAGUCCUGGCACAGGAGGGAAGCAGGCCUGCUCACAGACUUGCUCAGGGCCGGUCACACAUUUCCAUUUUUAGGUUAAAUAUGUCUUCGUAGGUUUAGCACAGCAGGGUGUCCAUCAGACUAGUCUUACGCGGUUGUAGGCAUUUAAGGUCACCCGCCCCUUUCUGUCUAGGUGCACCGAUUGGAUUUAAAAAGUCAGGCGGACUCCGGGCAGGUCCAGCUGCUUACAGCGGGGGGGGGGGGGGGGGGGGGGGGGGGCAGCGCAGUGAGCCGGGUAUGGGCGUGGCAGCUGAGGUGAGCGCUCGGCUGGGGCAGGGCGGGGUCCGCGCCAACAGGGCGAAGGCGAGCGCGGGGCGCGCUCCCGGAAACCUCGUGCACGAGCCGCGGCACCGCCCGCCCCCGCCCCGCCCCGGUCAGCUGGGUUCCGCGUCCAGCCGGCUGCGGAGCAUCCCGGGCGGCGCGAACGGCCCAGCCAUGUCCGCAGCCAUGAGGGAGAGGUUCGACCGGUUCCUGCACGAGAAGAACUGCAUGACUGAUCUCCUCGCCAAGCUCGAGGCCAAGACCGGAGUGAACCGGAGCUUCAUCGCGCUCGGUGUCAUCGGACUGGUGGCUUUGUAUCUGGUGUUCGGUUAUGGAGCCUCUCUCCUCUGCAACCUGAUAGGUUUCGGAUACCCAGCCUACAUCUCUGUGGCUUCCUGCUGUGGUGCAUGGCCCCCAGCCCGGCUAAUGGGGCUGAGAUGCUCUACAGGCGAAUCAUCCGUCCUAUCUUCCUCAAGCACGAGUCCCAGGUAGACAGUGUGGUGAAGGACGUGAAGGACAAAGCCAAAGAGACUGCAGAUGCCAUCAGCAAAGAAGUCAAGAAAGCUACAGUGAACUUGCUGGGCGAUGAGAAGAAGAGCACCUGAGGCCUGGCCGGGCGCCCCUCCCCCCCCACCCCCUGGAGCUCUGUGUCAUGCUAGGGACAGUGGCACAGUCGUUGGAUAAUGUUGCCUUGGAAACUUCCCGCUGUAUUAAAAAUGGAAUGUGUUGUAAGCUGCUUUGCCUUUGUUGUCGUAUAUGUAGAAAGCAUUUUCAUUUAAACCUAACAGAGUGGGCAGUACCUCAAGUGUUUAAAAUAUUUUGCUGUGUAGGAAGACAUGUCACUAUACUCCAGGAAAUACAAAAGAGGGUUGGGAAUCUCUGUCUGUAGGCCCCGUGCUCUGCGGGGCUCACUCUGCAUGCGUCUCCUUGUGCUUACAGUUAGGAAACCUUUGUGGUUGUGCUUCACGCAGUGUAUGAUUAUAUAUAUAUAUAGUUCUGUGUUUUAAUGUAUCUGGGCAUAUACAUAUAUAUGGAAAAUGUUAUUGUUUGGCUAGAACAUGCACAGUGCUUGUGAGGAAGAGGCCAGGAGAGGCUUGUAGACGCCACCUGUGACCUGAGAAGGGAGACCACCUGCCGAGGCUGGAGGUCUGAGCUUCCAAUAACGUUUCAGAAAUCAAUGCAAGCGAGUAAGACUCGAACCCGUGAUCAGCUCCAGUUUCCCAGGAAACAGUGGCACCAUCUCCCCUGCUCCUCCUCUGAGAUGCUGAAAUGCCAGCCAUUUAUGGUUUACCUGAAAGCUGGCUAACAAGGUCCUUAGUCUCUCCUCCCAAACUCUUUAAAAACUAGUUCAUGGCACCUCCCAAGACAGACAUCCCACCUCCCAUUUUUUAAAAACACGAUCCCACGUAGCCCAGGAUAACCUCCAAAUCCCAGCUGCUGCUCAUUGUAGCUUGUGCCCCACGGCUGGCAUACGUGUGUGUUCUUGUUCCUGUCAGCAGCACAUUGCGCUGAUGACGUCCAGCUCUAAGAGCCAUUCUGGGCAAGUGAAGGGCAGUGGCUAACAGCUGUUGUCGGUCCAGCAGUGGCUGGGUUAAACUUUCUACUCUUUUUUGGUUUUAUGGCCAACCUCAAGAGGUCUCCUUACUUUACAAUUCAUAAUUAUUAGCAUUCCCUUAAAAAUCUCGUUCAGUUUUAGGUUUUGUUUUGACAGAUAGAAUAAAGUUUAAGUGACUGCCCAUGGCCUGAUUGGUCAGAGGUUUGGGUCUAAAAAUCUGCAGUUUGCACCAUAUGCCAGCGUCCCAGCCUUUGAGUUAGUCUGAAGUGGACUAAAGGAGUUGUCUACCAAAGUUAACAACAGGAGUUACUUUCAAGACAAAUAGAUAGUAAUUCUCCUCCAGAUGACUAAGAUCAUAAUAAUAUGAUAUUAAAUAUUAACAAUACAAAAUAAGAGGCACUGUGGCCCUAGCGUAAUAUGGGUCACUGUGUCAGUUUUCCUGGGGAUAGCAGUCAUUAGGCUUCAUAUGACUUAGGGGAGAUCUUUUUAGAAAAUAAGAACUAUUGUUUGGAUAAAGUCAAUUGUUAGGCUUUAAACAUCAAAAAUAUUUAGGUCCUUAUAAGUAAAAGCACGUUUUUCUUGUUGGCAGAAUGAAAAUUACAGUGUAGCAUAUAGGAGCAGAGUGUUAAUAUACAAAAUACUUUCUGUGGGGAAUGGGCAGGCAGGGAAUGAUGCUUACGGUUAGAGAUUGUAUUGGUGGAAACGCUGCAGUGAAAUAAACUCCAAAAGUAAUUUUGCUGCAUCAACCCCACAACUUUGCGGGAGACUCCCUGCUACUUUCUGCAGCUGUCAAUGGGAGAAAUCAUGAAUCGACUUCUGCCUACUGGUCCUUCCCAAAUAAAGUGUCAUGGCUUAAGUGUUGAAAAUGAGCUGAGUUUGUGUCUGGCUGGAAACAAAGCAUUUAUUUGUAUCUGAGUGGUAUUUCCUAGGCAUAUAAAGUUCUAGAAUUCUUGCUAAACAUUAAAUGUCCCAAAGAGUUCGUGCAGCAAUUAUUUCCUGACAUUGUGGGAAGGUCCUCCAUCCACACCUGCAGAAAACAGCCAAGGCCUGUAAGGAAGUUCUUGCCUGUCCUCAGGUGUGAGUAGAAAUGAUGUGCCCAGUGCCUCCUUACACGUUCCCAGACUCCCCUGGCUGCCUGAACCUGGAAGAGUACUGAACUCUAUGUGGACUGUUCUUUCCUGUGUGUGUACAUAUGUGACAAAGGUUACUGGCUGAACAAAGUGACAAUUAGAAGAAUUACAACAUAUACUCAAAUAAAGAUUAUGUUUAUGUGGUCUCUCAAAA